RNAcentral lists this ribosomal RNA (451 nucleotides) under Acrocalymma pterocarpi. RNAcentral's name for it is "SSU rRNA". It matches the Rfam family "Eukaryotic small subunit ribosomal RNA", at positions 653 to 1108 of the family's 1831-position model. Lineage: Eukaryota; Fungi; Ascomycota; Dothideomycetes; Pleosporales; Acrocalymmaceae. The record is from RNAcentral.
GGCAGGUCCGCCUCACCGCGUGUACUUGACCGGCCGGGCCUUUCCUUCUGGAGAACCUCAUGCCCUUCACUGGGUGUGCUGGGGAACCAGGACUUUUACUUUGAAAAAAUUAGAGUGUUCAAAGCAGGCCUUUGCUCGAAUACGUUAGCAUGGAAUAAUAGAAUAGGACGUGCGGUCCUAUUUUGUUGGUUUCUAGGACCGCCGUAAUGAUUAAUAGGGACAGUCGGGGGCAUCAGUAUUCAAUUGUCAGAGGUGAAAUUCUUGGAUUUAUUGAAGACUAACUACUGCGAAAGCAUUUGCCAAGGAUGUUUUCAUUAAUCAGUGAACGAAAGUUAGGGGAUCGAAGACGAUCAGAUACCGUCGUAGUCUUAACCGUAAACUAUGCCGACUAGGGAUCGGGCGAUGUUCUCAUUUUGACUCGCUCGGCACCUUACGAGAAAUCAAAGUUUUU